CAGCAGCCGCGGUAAUACGUAUGGGGCAAGCGUUGUUCGGAAUUAUUGGGUGUAAAGGGCGUCUAGGCGGGGAAUUAAGUUAGGUGUGAAAUCCAUGGGCUCAACCCGUGAACUGCAUCUAAAACUGAUUCUCUUGAGUUCGGGAGAGGAGAGCGGAAUUCCUGGUGUAGCGGUGAAAUGCGUAGAUAUCAGGAAGAACACCAGUGGCGAAGGCGGCUCUCUGGCCUAAAACUGACGCUGAAGCGCGAAAGCGUGGGGAGCGAACGGGAUUAGAUACCCCGGUAGUCCACGCCGUAAACGUUGUAUACUAGGUGUAAGUGGCUUGUUCACUUGUGCCGUCGCUAACGCAUUAAGUAUACCACCUGGGGAGUACGGCCGCAAGGCUUAAACUCAAAGAAAUUGACGGGGGCCCGCACAAGCGGUGGAGCAUGUGGUUUAAUUCGAUGAUACGCGAAGAACCUUACCUGGGCUUGAACUGCAUUUGACAGGUGUAGAGAUACACUCUCCUUCGGGCAGAUGUAGAGGUGCUGCAUGGUUGUCGUCAGCUCGUGUCGUGAGAUGUUGGGUUAAGUCCCGCAACGAGCGCAACCCCUACUCUCUGUUGCUAUCAGAUAAUGCUGGGCACUCUGAGGGAACUGCCGGUGAUAAACCGGAGGAAGGUGGGGAUGACGUCAAAUCAGCACGGCCCUUAUGUCCAGGGCUACACACGUGCUACAAUGGCCGGUACAAUGAGCUGCAAUACCGCGAGGUGGAGCUAAUCUCAAAAAACCGGUCUCAGUUCAGAUUGCAGUCUGCAACUCGACUGCAUGAAGUUGGAAUCGCUAGUAAUCGUGGAUCAGCACGCCACGGUGGAUACGUUCCCGGGCCUUGUACACACCGCCCGUCACACCACCCGAGUUGGCAGCGCCCGAAGUGGCUGAUCUAACCGUUUACGGAGGAAGGUUACUAAGGUGAAGCUGGUAAGGGGGGUGAAGUCGUAACAAGGUAGCCGUA
This 993-nucleotide ribosomal RNA is filed under the name uncultured bacterium. RNAcentral describes it as "bacterial SSU rRNA". It matches the Rfam family "Bacterial small subunit ribosomal RNA", at positions 509 to 1504 of the family's 1533-position model. The record is from RNAcentral.